RNAcentral lists this ribosomal RNA (406 nucleotides) under uncultured bacterium. RNAcentral describes it as "partial 16S ribosomal RNA". It matches the Rfam family "Bacterial small subunit ribosomal RNA", at positions 30 to 526 of the family's 1533-position model. The record is from RNAcentral.
AUUGAACGCUGGCGGCAGGCCUAACACAUGCAAGUCGAGCGAGCGGCGGACGGGUGAGUAAUGUAUGGGGAUCUGCCCGAUAGAGGGGGAUAACUACUGGAAACGGUAGCUAAUACCGCAUACUAUCGGAUGAACCCAUAUGGGAUUAGCUAGUUGGUGGGGUAAAGGCUCACCUAGCCGACGAUCUCUAGCUGGUCUGAGAGGAUGAUCAGCAACACUGGGACUGAGACACGGCCCAGACUCCUACGGGAGGCAGCAGGGGGGAAUAUUGCGCAAUGGGCGCAAUCCUGAUGCAGCCAUGCCGCGUGUAUGAAGAAGGCCUUAGGGUUGUAAAGUACUUUCGGCGGGGAGGCGUUACCCGCAGAAGAAGCACCGGCUAACUCCGUGCCAGCAGCCGCGGUAAUUC